AUCGAACGCUGGCGGCAGGCUUAACACAUGCAAGUCGAGCGGGCAUCCUUGUGGUGUCAGCGUCAGACUGGUGAGUAACGCGUGGGAACGUGCCCUUCGGUUCGGAGUAACUCGGGGAAACUUGAGCUAAUACCGGGGACGUUCGAACGCAGAAAGGUUGAUCUGCCGAAGGGUCGGCCCGCGGCUGAUUAGGUAGUUGGUUAGGUUAUGGCUCACCAAGGCGACGAGCAGUAGCUGGUCUGAGAGGAUGAUCAGCCACACUGGGACUGAGACACGGCCCAGACUCCUACGGGAUGCAGCAGUGGGGAAUACAGGCAUAUGGGGGCUACCAUGAUCCAGCCAUGCCGGGUGAGUGAUGACGGCCUUAGGGUUGUAAAGAUCUUUUCUACGGGACGACAAUGACGGUACCGGAGGAAUAAGCCCCGGCUAACUUCGUG
This 437-nucleotide ribosomal RNA is filed under the name uncultured bacterium. RNAcentral describes it as "partial 16S ribosomal RNA". It matches the Rfam family "Bacterial small subunit ribosomal RNA", at positions 30 to 507 of the family's 1533-position model. The record is from RNAcentral.